CCUACGGGAGGCUGCAGUGAGGAAUAUUGGUCAAUGGACGAGAGUCUGAACCAGCCAAGUAGCGUGAAGGAUGACUGCCCUAUGGGUUGUAAACUUCUUUUAUAUGGGAAUAAAAUGUUCCACGUGUGGGAUUUUGUAUGUACCAUAUGAAUAAGGAUCGGCUAACUCCGUGCCAGCAGCUGCGGUAAUACGGAGGAUCCGAGCGUUAUCCGGAUUUAUUGGGUUUAAAGGGAGCGUAGGGGGGUUGUUAAGUCAGUUGUGAAAGUUUGCGGCUCAACCGUAAAAUUGCAGUUGAAACUGGCAGUCUUGAGUACAGUAGAGGUGGGCGGAAUUCGUGGUGUAGCGGUGAAAUGCUUAGAUAUCACGAAGAACUCCGAUUGCGAAGGCAGUUCACUGGACUGCAACUGACACUGAGGCUCGAAAGUGUGGGUAUCAAACAGGAUUAGAUACCCGUGUAGUC
RNAcentral lists this ribosomal RNA (460 nucleotides) under uncultured bacterium. Its description in RNAcentral is "partial 16S ribosomal RNA". It matches the Rfam family "Bacterial small subunit ribosomal RNA", at positions 338 to 795 of the family's 1533-position model. The record is from RNAcentral.